Molecule: ribosomal RNA, 741 nt
Filed under: uncultured Enterococcus sp.
Lineage: Bacteria; Bacillati; Bacillota; Bacilli; Lactobacillales; Enterococcaceae
Description: bacterial SSU rRNA
Rfam family: Bacterial small subunit ribosomal RNA
Source: RNAcentral
GAUGAACGCUGGCGGCGUGCCUAACACAUGCAAGUCGAGCGAACCCUUCGGGGUGAGCGGCGGACGGGUGAGUAACGCGUGGGUAACUUGCCCUGUACACACGGAUAACAUACCGAAAGGUAUGCUAAUACGGGAUAAUAUAUGAGAGUCGCAUGGCUUUUGUAUCAAAGCUCCGGCGGUACAGGAUGGACCCGCGGUGCAUUAGCUAGUUGGUGAGGUAACGGCUCACCAAGGCCACGAUGCAUAGCCGACCUGAGAGGGUGAUCGGCCACACUGGGACUGAGACACGGCCCAGACUCCUACGGGAGGCAGCAGUAGGGAAUCUUCGGCAAUGGACGAAAGUCUGACCGAGCAACGCCGCGUGAGUGAAGAAGGUUUUCGGAUCGUAAAACUCUGUUGUUAGAGAAGAACAAGGACGUUAGUAACUGAACGUCCCCUGACGGUAUCUAACCAGAAAGCCACGGCUAACUACGUGCCAGCAGCCGCGGUAAUACGUAGGUGGCAAGCGUUGUCCGGAUUUAUUGGGCGUAAAGCGAGCGCAGGCGGUUUCUUAAGUCUGAUGUGAAAGCCCCCGGCUCAACCGGGGAGGGUCAUUGGAAACUGGGAGACUUGAGUGCAGAAGAGGAGAGUGGAAUUCCAUGUGUAGCGGUGAAAUGCGUAGAUAUAUGGAGGAACACCAGUGGCGAAGGCGGCUCUCUGGUCUGUAACUGACGCUGAGGCUCGAAAGCGUGGGGAGCAAAC